RNAcentral lists this ribosomal RNA (660 nucleotides) under uncultured bacterium. RNAcentral describes it as "bacterial SSU rRNA". It matches the Rfam family "Bacterial small subunit ribosomal RNA", at positions 94 to 788 of the family's 1533-position model. The record is from RNAcentral.
AUUGGCGGACGGGUGAGUAACGCGUGAGAAUCUGCCUUGGGGUCGGGGACAACCACUGGAAACGGUGGCUAAUACCGGAUAAGCCGAUUGGUGAAAGAUUUAUUGCCCGAAGAGGAGCUCGCGUCUGAUUAGCUAGUUGGUGAGGUAAGAGCUCACCAAGGCAGCGAUCAGUAGCUGGUCUGAGAGGACGAUCAGCCACACUGGGACUGAGACACGGCCCAGACUCCUACGGGAGGCAGCAGUGGGGAAUUUUCCGCAAUGGGCGAAAGCCUGACGGAGCAAGACCGCGUGAGGGAGGAAGGCUCUUGGGUUGUAAACCUCUUUUCUCAGGGAAGAAGCUCUGACGGUACCUGAGGAAUCAGCCUCGGCUAACUCCGUGCCAGCAGCCGCGGUAAUACGGAGGAGGCAAGCGUUAUCCGGAAUUAUUGGGCGUAAAGCGUCCGCAGGUGGCGAUUCAAGUCUGCUGUCAAAGCACGGGGCUUAACUCCGUAAAGGCAGUGGAAACUGAAUAGCUAGAGUGCCGUAGGGGUAGAGGGAAUUCCCGGUGUAGCGGUGAAAUGCGUAGAGAUCGGGAAGAACAUCGGUGGCGAAAGCGCUCUACUGGACGGCAACUGACACUCAGGGACGAAAGCUAGGGGAGCGAAUGGGAUUAGAUACCCC